RNAcentral lists this long non-coding RNA (1409 nucleotides) under Felis catus (domestic cat). RNAcentral describes it as "lncRNA (ENSFCAG00000053267.1)". The record is from RNAcentral. Lineage: Eukaryota; Metazoa; Chordata; Mammalia; Carnivora; Felidae.
GGAAUAUAGUCAAUGAUAUAGUAAUAGUGUUAUAUGGUGACAGGUUGUAACUACACUUGUGGUGAACAUAACAUAUAGAGCUGUUGAAUCACUAUGUUAUACACUUGAAACUAAUGUAACAUUGUGUGUCAAUUCUACUUCGGUAAAAAAAGGACCCCUUUUUAAAAAAAAAUUAUGUUUAUCUUUGAGAGAGAGACAGAGAGAGAGCUGGGAAGGGGCAGAGAGAAAGGGAGACACAGAAUCCAAAGCAGGCCCCAGGCUCUGAGCUGUCAGCACAGAGCCGGACCCGGGGCUUAAACUCAGACUAUGAGAUCAUGACCUGAGCCAAAGUUGGAUGUUUAACUGAGCCACCCAGGUGCCCCAAAAAGGGCCCCUUUUAAACAUCCUUUACACUUCCAAGAUAGUUGUCAUAUUUUCCAGUACCCAUUAAGAAACAUUUUUCAUAUUUAUUUAUCAAAAUAAAUAUUUAUUGAAUGAAUAUUAUUAAGGGGCCAGGAUCUGGGCCACCAAUAAAAUAAACAUAUUCUCUGCCCUCAUGAGGAUUAUAGUCUAGUUGGGGAGGAAAACAUUAAACAACGAUUCAUAGAAAUAACUGUAUGUUUACCAUUUGUUGAAGGUUAAGAUGAAAACAAAAAUCUCCCCUGUGGAAGUGACAUUUAUGUGACUUGAAGGAGGAAGAGGAGAGAGUCAGCAGCCAUCACCAGACAUCUGGCUUUGGAAGCAGUUUUGCUGAAGAGAACACAACCUGUGCCACUGAAUCCAAACAGCAUUCAUUCUUGGUGGUCGCGAGCAUCCUUGCAUCCAGAGAAAGGAAUCACUUUGCUAUUUUUUAUGGUUUAAUUAUAUUAUUGCAUAAAACAUUUUGGCUGUAUAACUUUCUGGACUUGCCUGUUUUACAACCAAUAAUCCCGCUGAAAUGUGAAAUGUACCUAAAAUUAACAAAGACAGGGUCUCAUCCCACAUCUCUGAUUUCAUUUAGGCUUGAAGAAGUAGUCCAACAUCACACAGAGUACGAAGCACAGGAACAGUGAGACCUAGGUUUGCUCCCAGCUCUGUGCCGCAAAGUCACUCACUGGUGACCUGAAGUAAGCCACAAUAGUUGUCUCAGUCUUAGACUGUGUUGUUCUUUGAAUGAUGCCAUAGAAUUAGAUCAUCUCCAAGGGCCCUGGUAGCUCUAACACUCUACUGCUGAACUCACGCUGACAUCUGAGACAGACUCAUGAGACUUAUCUUUAAGUUUUCAUUCCUAUAAUGAUAUGUGGAUGACUAGGGGCUGAAAUAUUGGGAAGAUAUCAUGGAAACUUUCUCAUAUAGACAUCAGAAAAAAUAGUCAACAGAUUUUUAUACCAUUUCUGUUUAAUAUUCCUUAUUUCUCUGGAUAAGAAAUAAAGGUUUUGAGAAUAUCUUCA